UUACAAGAUUAUGCAAGACUGCUGGCGAGAAGAUCCUGAUGAUCGCCCAACGUUUGAGAAUCUUAGAGAUGAAUUGAAGGAAAUGGAGAACCAGCACCAGAGGUUCAUCAACUUAAAAGAUUAUGACAAGAAACUCUACGAGAAUGUGGAAGAUUUGAUGUUCUAGAUCAUAGAGAUAUGCAUCGUGUUAUCGUUUGCAUAUCUUGACAGCAAAAGGGUACGAUGCAGGAUUGAUGUUUUAGAUAGUGCUAGUUACAUGUAGCCAGUAAGUAGUUAUGCAGAAGAUGCAAGAUAUUUAAACGUAUUUUUCUAAACUUUGUUAGAAUAAGAAACAAUAAACAAAAUUAGAACGAGCAUUCUUUCCUCUUCUAUACCAUCAAAGGGGAGGUAAAGUUUGAUAUUUGAGUAUUUUAGCUGUAUGCUUGCUUCAAGAAGCACGCGAAUUAGAUUUGUAUCCUUUUUUGAAGCGGGCGUAUAUCGAUAGACUUUGUGGGAACAACAAAAUCAGCAACCAUGCAGAAAUGCCUUCUCAGCGUUACAUAUAUAUAUAUAUAGAAAAGGAUGAAUUCCUCGAUCAAAGCUUACAUAUCAGUACAUGUAUUACCAGUAAAAUGACUGGAGUUUCGCUUAAAUAAUGGCAAAUGCUCUCAUUAAUCCAAUAUAAUUACAUUACUUUUAAGGUUCGAAAGUUCUACGGAUUGUAUCUCCCGUUUGAUAAAACUGAGUAGAUAGUUUCGAUUGUAAUGUUUGCUGUUUGUUUUCUUUUUCUUAAGGCAGAACACUUUUGCCGUUUUGACUGCAACAUUGCAAAAAAGUCUGACUUCUUAGUGUGCUCAAACGGUCUAAUCUGUCUGCUAACUUGAUCUGUCUGUAGUGUUCUUAGUCGUAUCUGUAGGUUCUAGACUCGCAAUUUUGACGUGGUCGUAAAAGUACCGCACUUCGCUCAAGCAUCGGUGUUCUAACCAUUCUCAGAAGAAAUAUUUAUUUCUUUGGUGGUUGUUCGUGUCAGUUUAGGUCAUGGUGCAUUAGGUUUUUGUUAAACCUGCUUAUCUAGAAUGCAGUCCGUUAAGUUUAUAAGAUUUCUCAGUUUUUAUAAACAUUUGUAAAGCCUAUUUAGGCCCAUGUCUUUUUUAGCUUGAUAUAUCGAAGCAGCUAUCCCAAAGCUAUCUUGGCAAAGGUUAGGCUUUUAUUUAACUCCCUGGUUUAGAAUCCAGGGGUUUAGUAUACAGCAAGGAUGUACAUGUAAGACGAAAUUUUGAAUAAACCUAAUGGUUUGAACCCAAGAGUA
This is a long non-coding RNA of Orbicella faveolata, 1288 nucleotides long. The record is from RefSeq and is a predicted model, not a curated record. Lineage: Eukaryota; Metazoa; Cnidaria; Anthozoa; Scleractinia; Merulinidae.